Lactuca sativa (garden lettuce) is the source of this 1088-nucleotide non-coding RNA. Lineage: Eukaryota; Viridiplantae; Streptophyta; Magnoliopsida; Asterales; Asteraceae. The record is from RefSeq and is a predicted model, not a curated record.
UCUCUUUCUCUCUCUAACUUCUCUCUAGCCUCCCUAAACCCCUCCCAAGUCUAGGGAACCUCCCUAUCACGAGAAGAAAGCCCCGGAGCGCCCGACGGCUCCGAGAAGAAAAGCUUUCGGCUCGGAAACGCUGCUCCAGCGAAGUCCGGUUUUUAAUAAAAACCCAUUGUUUGGUCAAGGAAAAAUUGUUUUAAGAAGUAACGAAGAGCUGUCCGAGUGCCGAGUCACCACCUUACCAGGUAGUGGCGCAUGAGCAUAGGUGUGAUGUUUUGGACGAGGGAUUACGGAUAUAGGCCUGUAGAUAUGAAAUAAUGUAGUAAGGCUUAUAUUGUACUGUUUAUGCUUUUGAUCUGUACGAACAUGACAUCCCGAGUCUUUUAAUGAAAUACAUUUCUAUGGAAAUGCUUUUGAUAAAUCUUUAUCAUAUUUUUGUUUUGGGACAAAUUCCGCAACACUUUCAUUUAAAAUGUAACUCUGAUUUUUAAACAAAGCAUAAACAAACCGGUCUUUUCUGGCCGUGAUUUUGGGGAUGUCACAUCGAAUUCGAUCCAAGCAUGUAUGUUUUGCCCAUUUCGCAUAUCCACCGAAAUGAAAUUCCCUGUAGAAUUGUAGUAACCGGCGCUAACUUUCACCUCUGAUUCAAUAUUAUUAAGGUCAAUUCCGACGUGAUUUCCAUCCGUCUCGUUGAAUUCCAUGUUUAUACCGGUGUCGAACUCCACGGCAAUAAGCAGAGCUACAGUUCGUGCCGCGGAGUUGGAGAACAAUCCUAGAUACUGACCGUCGAUUGCUCCGUUGGGUUCGGUGGUGUUUGAUAACACGAAAGUGAUGCCGAAACCGGGGCUGGAGUUGAUUUCCGGUAAGAUUGAAAAGACGAACUGCGUGGAGAAUACAGUAAGGUUACUGGAUCCUUGCCGGAACAUUUGAAUUGGUGUUGAGUAAAAAGCUCGACCGAUUGACCACUGAUUGGAGUCAUUAGAUAAGCGGAUCACCGGUGGCUCGAUGCGGGCGUCACGUACUAGCAGGAGGUUGGCGGUUGUGUUGAAGGAGUUGAAAAGGAAGUCCACGGCGGCGAUGGGUGGUGAUAGGAG